GAUGAACGCUGGCGGCGCACAUAAGACACGCAAGUCGAACGGACUUAACCAUUAGUUUACUAUUGGAGCGGUUAGUGGCGGACUGGUGAGUAACGCGUAAGCAAUCUGCCUAUCAGAGGGGAAUAACAGUGAGAAAUCACUGCUAAUACCGCAUAAGCUGUGAGUAUCGCAUGAUACAAAUAGAAAAGGAGCAAUCCGCUGAUAGAUGAGCUUGCGUCUGAUUAGUUAGUUGGCAGGGUAACGGCCUACCAAGGCGACGAUCAGUAGCCGACCUGAGAGGGUGAUCGGCCACAUUGGGACGGAGACACGGUCCAA
RNAcentral lists this ribosomal RNA (315 nucleotides) under uncultured bacterium. RNAcentral describes it as "bacterial SSU rRNA". It matches the Rfam family "Bacterial small subunit ribosomal RNA", at positions 28 to 334 of the family's 1533-position model. The record is from RNAcentral.